Long non-coding RNA from Symphalangus syndactylus (siamang), 8637 nucleotides. RefSeq lists it as uncharacterized. NCBI's taxonomy places the organism in Eukaryota, Metazoa, Chordata, Mammalia, Primates, Hylobatidae. The record is from RefSeq and is a predicted model, not a curated record.
ACCACCACAUCUGGCUAAUUUUUGUAUUUUUAGUAGAGACAGGGUUUCACUAUGUUGGCUCAGCUGGUCUCUGAACUCUUGAUCUCAAGUGAUCCGCCCGCCUCGGCCUCCCAAAGUGCUGGGAUUACAGGUGUGAGCCAGCGCGCCUAGCUGACAUCCACAACUUAAGGCUAGAAAUGUAAAAUGUUGGUUCGCAGCGUAACGAGCACAUUCCAAAGAAAACUCAAAUGGCUCCUUUGUACUCUAAAAAUAGUAAAUUUGCAGCAAGAUGAUAGUCAAGUUCUGUGUCUUCAGGGUGCCACCGCAUCUAUGAUUUAGACUAACCUAGAGAUUGUUUACUUGCCAAAUAGAGUUCUUCAAGAUGAUGUUUGGAUUUGUCUUCCCAUCUCCAGUUGCCAUAUCAGCAUUUUUGUCUGUACCCAAAUUCAUAUUACUGAAGUGUUAAAGCUGGUUUCAGUGACUCCAGUUUCUUAAAACAUGUCACUCCCUUAAUAUGAGUUAACAGUGGGUUAUAUUCUACCUUUCCAAUUUAUCCUGUUCUCAAUCACAUCUUCCCCUACCCUGGUUGAUUUGGUAAAUAUAUAUAUUUUUUAACUCUACAGACCCAGGAACUGAAUAUAUUUAUAUUUCCCAAUGAGCUAAAUGCAGUGCUGACAGUUUUAAUAUUGAUUGGUGAGAUGGAAAGAAUUUAGUACUCCCUAAAAACAAAGCACUGUAGAAGUCUGUUUCACAAGCUAUUCGUUAACUGGGUGGAUUAUUGGAGAAGGUAUUUUAAUACUAAUAACUCCUCAGAUGUGAAGCCAGAAAAUUUGAAUUAAUCUAAAUGCUAGCCUAAGUCCAAGUAUAAUUGGAUAAGUAAAUGUUGCUCCGAGAAUUGGUCUUGCAAAGACAGACCAAUUGUAAGACCAAAGUAAGUGGUUUUGAUGUAAGCUGUGCACACUUUCAGUACAGAUCAUGAAGAAUUGAUGACAUUGUCUCCUAAAAGACUAAGUAGUUGCCUCCUAGGUAUCCUUUUUCAGUCAUUCUCUUUUAAGCUUCUUACAGAGGAAGCUUUAAGUUGCCUCAGAAUUUAGUGGUAUUGCCUCAGCGAGAAUUCCUGCAUAUUUCUCUUUGGGAUGGAAUCACUUUGGUUCUUUUUUUGUUGUUGGUAACUAUUCAUAAAGAGAUUAAUACAUAACGAUGUAUUGUGAAGAGACUAGAUAGUAUGUAUAUUAUUCCUUGGGUUGGGAGGCUUAAGCAUUACUUCAGGACCCUGACCCUGGUCUUUAGGUUUAUAGGAUCAGCUAGCUUAAACAAUUCUCUCAAAACCAAGAGACCCAGCAUUCAUACAUUUUAACACCCCACACCAUAAAUCCCAUAAGCAGCCCCAUUCCUUUUGCCAUUAAAAACCUCACCCCUUCGUGAUCACACCUAACGACUGAAGCAUUCUUGAACUAAUUGCAUUAUUUCUUCUUUGCUUCUCUUCAUGUUUUAGAAAGUGUGCUAUCUGUGCAGGCACUCACAUGUUGCCCUUAAGCUGUUCUCUAGUUUAACAUGUAUGUUUUGUUUUCCUCAGCUACAUAGUAAACUGAGAGCAAAGGCUGGUUUUUUUGUUUUGUUGUUUUUGUUUGUUUGGUUUUUUUUAGACGGCAUCUUGUACUGUCACUUGGGCCGGAGUGCAGUGGUGCAAUCUCAGCUCACUGCAACCUCCACCUCCUGGGUUCAAGCGAUUCUCCUGCCUCAGCCUCCCAAGUAGCUGGGAUUACAGGCACCUGCCACUACAUCUCGCUAAUUUUUUGUAUUUUUAGUAGAGACAGGUUUUCACUAUGUUGGCCAGGCUGGUCUCAAACUCCUGACCUCGUGAUCUGCACACUUCGGCCUCCCAAAGUGCUGGGGUUACAGGCAUAAGCCACUGCGCCCGGCCCCCCAAAGGCUAUGUUUUAAACUUUGACAUUUCUAAGAUGUCCAGAAUGCUAGUGCCUGCACCUUAAUAAAUGUUUGUGAAUAAAUACAUUAUUGAAAUCUUAGGCAGGUGUGCCACAUCGCUUAAAUCUGAGACACUGUGUUCUUCAGUCAGAUCAUGCAUAUUCCUAGAAUAGUAACCUCAAAAGUUUAUACCCUUGCUACCUUUUUUAUAUUUUUUGUAGAGACAGGAUCUUGCUCUGUUUCUCAGAGUGUUUUUGAACUCCUGGGCUUAAGCAGUCCUCCCACCUUGGCUUCCUAAAGUGCUGGGAUUACAGGUAUGAGCCACUGCGUCCAGUGUUGAUACUGUGGCUCAUUUUAAUUCUCACGUAGUAUUUAGUUUCAUUUUGCAGUUUGAGGAAAUAGGCCCAGAGAUAUUAAAGUGGCAGGCCCAGAACUUGAAUCCAGGUCUUGUGAUGAGAAAUUCUCGUUUUACUAUCACGUUGCAUUGUAAAGCCAGCCUGCUUUUUCCAGUUGGGAGGCCUCGGGGAGAAAAGUCCGACCCAAGUGAGAAACACCUGUAAUAUCUACCAGAUGCCAGCAGGGUGUCCCAUGGUGCUGUCUUUAAUCCAUGUUCUUACCCUGUGUGCUGAGGGUUGUUCUAGAGUAGGACUACAUCUAGUCACAGUGGCCAUGUUCCAGAGCCUGGCAGCAAGAAAGAGGGAUGCCUGGCUCCUUGGCUUUCCACUUUGCAGUGCACAGCCAGCUCUCUCAGAGAAGCCCUGGCCCUCUCUUGACCCCUACUAUUGAGGCUGGCCCCACAGGAGGACAGCUGGUCACACAGUGGCCGAGGCCUGGCUAGCCACUCAAUAACUACGCAGCAGCCCCACAAAAUCAUAGAAAAGAACCUGUGAAAGGGUAAAUGUUUAAAACAUCUGCAUUUGUGUUGAUAGCUGAGUAUACACUUACAUUAGUAACAGAUCCACAAAAAUGACCCACUCUAGGAAUUUAAGUUUAAAAGCCAAUGUGUGGUAACUUCCAGUUUCCAAUAAAAAUGUUUGCAUUACACUUAGCCUAUGUAUACAACCUCUUAGGUAUCAGUUUUUGUAUUCAGCAACCCUAGUUGGUAAUCUACAGUGUCAAAACUAUCACUUAUGUGAAAACAAAUAGCCCUUUAAAAAUUUCCUUUCCCAAUGCUCGUUAAGCACUUGGUACAAAUGUCUGUAACUUUUAUAAUUAUUUCUUUGCAAGGCUUGGUUUCUUCAGUAGAGAAGAUUCUUAGAAGUAUCCCCAGUGACAGUACAGCUCUUGGCAUUUAGUAGGUGCUCAGUAAUUAUUUUACUGAAAUACCAAUGUUUCCAUAAUAGUUCUGGGAUAAUUCUACAUACAAGCCAUUUUUCUAAGGAGAGUCCACAUUAGAGAGGUCUUUGUUUUGUAUUCAAGAUGGUUAAAAUUAAUUAUGAACUGGGAAGUUAGUCCCUGGGGUGUCCUGGCUGGCCUUUGGAAAUCUUCACUACAUCUUUCUGGGUUGGAAUUCUCAACCACAGCCUGAACGUGGGGCUGUAUCUGAGCUGUCUCUGAGUGCCGUCCAUUUGACAUAUCGAGGACUGGGUGUUUACCAGGGCUCUUCAAGCCACUGGGAGAAACAGCUAAAGAGUAACCUACUGAUUUGAGAUGUGGAUUUGUGCCCCAUCCCUUUCUCCCUGUUUCCCACAGGAGUUUUAUCCCAAACUCUUAAGCCAUUUUUAAGGAGAUCACUGGAACAAACUCCAAACCUACCCUCUAAUAGUCAAGUUUACCUGAAUUUUCUCAGUUCUCGGGAGAAGACUAAUCACACAUUGUAGUACCAACUUGGACUCUUCAUGUGCUUUUCUUAACUGAUUAGAGUAACACAACUAAAGUGUAUAGAACAUACAUGGGGCUUCAUCAGGCUUCAGAAUCAGUUUCACUAGAUGUGCUAUGUAGGAGGCCACGGAAAAAUAACUGUAGGAGUAAAAGUUAUCAGUUCUGAUGCAAACAAUCAUUUUGUCCCAUAUUAUAAAUAAAUUGGCCUGAAAAUAUCCUUUCAUAUGUGAGGAAUAAGUAUAUGGUGCCUUUCUCCUUUAAAGUAUGAACUGCUAAAAGACAGGGAUAACGUGUAUUCUGUAUUCCAGCACCCACAGUGUGUUUCUGGUCUUCCUACCAGGUGCUCAGGAAGUGUUUUCACUGGCUUGGGUUGACUGCUUGCCAUCUGCUCUCUGAGCAUUCAUUUCUGAAUGAAAGGGGAGAAAGUGAAAGGAGAGGUGGGAAGAAAGAGGAAGCUGCAGAAAUAAGAGGAAACAGCUGGAGGAGGGAGGUGAAGCUGAGGAGGUGGGACUUACAUAAGGUCAGUAAAACAAAAAGCUAGCAGGGGGCAGGGUCAGGCCUUGGGGGUAGAGGGCUAAUUAACUUCUGUCAGCUAGUUGGAUAGAGCCUUAUGUGCUUUGUUAGAGACCAAAGGUACUUCAAAGGAAAAAAUCUAGAUUCUUCCCUGUGUACCUUAAUAAUCGUUCAUCAGGUCAAAAUCUAUCCUGUCCUCUAGGAAUUCUGGUCUCCCCUCAGGCCUAGCAGAGAGCUUUCUGCCACUACUCAGGCAACCAAGGGUGAAGUGCUUCAAGUAGUAUUUGUGGACAGCAGCAGGUAAGCUUGAUGUGUUAUUCACAGCUUAAAGAGUAAAUGCUGAGUACAGCAGUUGUCCAUGUGUAGAGCUUUUAAUAACCAGCUCAGCAGGCCCCUUCACCUGCUUUUAUGCCUGGACCAGAUGACUGAAUGUAGAACUUUAGGCACUUUUUUUUUUUUUGAGACGGAGUCUCGGUUUGUCGCCCAGGCUGAAGUGCAGUGGCGCGAUCUUCAGCUCACUGCAAGCUCUGCCUCCCGGGUUCACACCAUUCUCUUGCCUCAGCCUCCCAAGUAGCUGGGACUAUGCCAGGCUAAUUUUUAUAUUUUUUAGUAGAGACGGGGUUUCACCGUGUUAGCCAGGUUGGUCUCAAUCUCCUGACCUGGUGAUCCACCUGCCUCGGCCUCCCAAAGUGCUGGGAUUACAGGUGUGAGCCACCACGUCCGGCCCUUUAGGCACUUUCUACUUCUCAAGGUCAAGAAAUAUCCUUUUAAAAAGUUAAUUCCCUUUUCUGGAGCCUAAGCCAGAUCUUAUCUAGGCCUUGUGUUGCCAUCUGUUGGCAUUGAUUUCUGGAAUGGAGCAGCUUUCUCAAAGUUUGGUCUUGCUAGUCAUGAGGUCAUGUCAGUGUCUUAGGUCACUGCUGCUCACCUUCCUUACCCAGGGAGCAUACUGCAUCGGUUUCUGAACACCUGUUUUCAUUAUUCACUGUUCCUCUCACUGCCAAGAAUGGAGGGACCCUCAGUUGAAGAUCAAAUUGACUCUGAAGAAAAACUGGAGAGAGAUGUUUCUCUUGGAGUUUGGAUAGAGUAUUCACUUGAUAACGUUUUUGCCCUGCCUUGCUCUUCACAAGAACAUCUGGCCAGGCAUUAACAAUUAGUAAACUUUUUUGCAUAUGAACAGUAUUUUUUUUCUGGUGAUGUAGAUGGGUGCACAUGACACUAAACAAUGCUGUUUAGUGUCAUUAUAUCCCUCUUAACUGGUGGGAUGUAUUUGGGGUGGAGGCUAUAGCCAAUGAGAAGAGGUUCACCUCUGUACCCGAGAAACUUUGUGUAGGAAUUUAUUUUUUUACUAUUAGCACAAUGCUAUAAUUGAGCUAAUCUUUGUAGUUUGGUGCAGGACCACCAAAUUUGUGUGACCCAUUACCUACUUUUUCCAUGCUCAGUCAUUACCAUGUCCUGAGGCAUCUGAGGGCAGUAAGGAACAGGUGUCCAAAGGAGGAAUGUUGGUGCCUAUGUUUUCCAGUUGUAUUGAAUUUCUUACUUGGUGUAUUUUUGACUUGUCUUAGUUUCUUUCCUUGUGGUCUAUGCUAUUUUACUUGCGAUUUGUUGGAUAUUCUCCCCUGUUAUUAAAGAGUUGUAAAAUGGAAGUUAGUAUUUCUAUGCAAAUGCUUUAAUGGAUGAAGCUGAUAGGUUUAGCAUUGAUUUUUGCCGGUGUCCUUCAACAAGCAUGAAGGUGAUAAAUGUGUUUCCAUGGCUUUAGACUCAUUUUUGAAGUCUUGGAUUGUGUGAACAUUCUUAGAAACAAUAAAAUGUUUUAAUUAAAAGCCCUCAACUACCAGUUGAACUCAGUGUCUACUAGGAAAAUGGGUAGAUUUGUUACAUUGUCCCUUUGCUCUCUAUGACUUUGUUCCAGUUGUCAAGGAACUUAAAGGGGUAUUCAGGAAAAAGAAUUCUUGUUUCCCUUUCCUCACCUUGCCAGUUAAAUAACUCCUGGUGAUACUUCAGGUGGUAGAAUUGAAACACAAACCUGACUUCUGACCACAUGGGUCAAAGGAAAAGGCAAAUGGCUUCAAAGCCCUUAGUGUGCUUGUCCAGUUCAGGCGGUGAGGACUUCUGCUUUCCUCCCUGAGGAGUUUGGAGUAUUUAAGGGGGGAUGGUGGGGGGGUGUCACUUUGAAAAUAUGUUGCUUUUUCUCCUGAUUGUAUUGAGGCUGAUAUGGAAGGGUUAUUUCUUUCUGGCCAAUACUUUUUGGUAUUUCUAAAUAUUGCAAUCUUGAUUUUUACUAUUAAAUUUGUUAAUUGUCAGUUCUGGCUUCUUUGCAUAAAGAGUUGGUCCAUUAACUUGCCAAUUUGAAGCUUCUAACUAGAUAUUCCCUACUGAAAGUUUUGGAUUUGUUUUUAGUUUGUGGAGCAGUCUUAGCUGGGGACAGGUAAUUGACAACGGCAGAGAUACUUUCUUUUCCUAGGAUUCUAAGUCUGUAAUCCAUAUCCUCCAUGUAUUCACAGGACUUUAAAAUUCUCUCCAAACGAGGAAGGAAAUAUCCUGUUGCUUUCUAAUGCUUACUAAAAGUUGUGUUUAGAACAACAGAUUUUAAUAGGCAUCUUCCUUUGUUACGUGUCAUUAGCCCUUUGCCCAUUUACCUUAGGGCUCUUUGAAGGAGAAAUGGAUGGGAGAAAACCUGUCACUUGGCGAAAGUAAAGGGAAUAAUUAACUGGCUCAGAGCUUAUGUGCAGAGUUCCCAGCCCCAAAGUUAAUCUAGAACUACUCGAUAACACCAAUAAAAAUAUUUAUUUCACAUCUGUUAUAUUUCUGGAAAAUGUUGUAAGCAUCUUACAUAUAUUUCUCAUUAAAUCCACAGGUGGCCAUUGUGAGGUAGAUAUUUUGUUUUAAUUUUCCAGAUGAGGAAGCUGAGACCCUAAAAGUUUAGGUGACAGGUUAUAUAACUUGGAGUGUGGGAGGAGGAGAGAGGAACCUGAACAGGGCCAGUUGGGGAUCUGACUUUUGUUUGGGUAGAUGUAGGCACAUUGUAUUUUUGGCUUAGAUGCUUUAUUCAUCAUGGGUGAAGGUAAUACCAUUUACUCACUCACCGAAAAUUGUUUACAAUAAUCAAGAUGAAUUUGCUGUCUUUGGACAUCUGUCUUUUGACUGGACCCCAGUAUAUAGUCUGUGGAAGCUCACUUAAGGAGAGAGCUCCUUUUUUGUUUGGUUAGAGAAAUUGUCUGUCCUAAAAGUAGAAAUAGCCCCUUCUAGGUAGGGAUGGAGCAUUUGAUCAUACUGGUUUCAUUAUAUUCCUCUAACAGUUGGAACCGAUUGUUUUUGAGUACUUGUUUCAAACUUCUGAAUAUUUUCCUUCUGGAAAAUAGCUCAGUGUUUAAAAUUUAUAUGAUUCUUAAAAGGUUAAUUUUUUUUAAAGAAUGUUUGAGGAGCAAUCAACAAUUCUGAUCUUGUCUUAUAGAUAGAAAUAGAAUUAGCCAUUUUCCUCAAGAAAAGUGAUUCUUCUGAAUCUUAGCUCUUCAGUAAUGAGAACUGGACUGUUUUCACUUGACCUCUAUUUCCUAUUAGUGGGAAACCCCUCCCCAGAGGUGCUGUGUGAAAGAUUGCUGGGGAAAGGGUUUCUAGAUCCCAGCAUAACAAGUUCAAAAGAGUCUAGCGAGAUUGUCAUUAGAAUAAUGGUCUUCAUUAAGUACUAGUUUUCAUAAUCCUGAAGCUUCAUUUUCACCAAUUUGAAAGGCAGUAGCUAGGGAGGAGAAGGCUAUGCAGGGAAGGAGGAAAACUCAGGAGUGCAUCACAGAGACCUUGAGUGAGUUAAGGCAGGGAAGAAGCAGAUUUGCUAUCCACUGAAUGAAAAUAAAAAGAAUUCCAUUGUCCAAGGUCAGAGCAAGAACACAAAGGUUUUAGUUUACUUAGUUAAUUCCUUAGGUUUGGACAUUACAGGAGACAUGGGGGUCACCCACAGCAGUUUAGCUGAUAAAUGUAUCAGAAACUCUUUCAUCAUUUUCUGUCCCCUCCUAUCUUAGGCUGACCGGUUCCCUGAUGUGUUACCUGCUUCUACUGAUCCAAACUGCAGAACUUCUCAUUCAUCCCCAAGGCCUCCAGGCAGUAUCCAAUGGGGAAUCAGCUCUAAAAGGAACCAGACCAACGUUUUCCAGCCCCUUCAUUCUGUAGCUACCCUCUGUGUGAGGAAAGGAUAGAAAUGUUCAGGACAUCAUCAUACAGGCUCCUCAUCUACAAAGUUCCAGUAGCAGUGACGCCUACACGGAAGACUUGGAACUGCAAACAGAGGCUGGGGUCACCUCAGUGACAUCUCCUGACGCUGUCCAACCAGAAGUUCGAUUUUUGUUCUGGGGGUGAAGGAGGAAACAGACUGUACUAAAGGACUAAAAUAAUUUCUUGUCUAUACUA